AGUAAUGCUUAGGAAUCUGCCUAUUAGUGGGGGACAACAUUCCGAAAGGAAUGCUAAUACCGCAUACGCCCUACGGGGGAAAGCAGGGGAUCUUCGGACCUUGCGCUAAUAGAUGAGCCUAAGUCGGAUUAGCUAGUUGGUGGGGUAAAGGCCUACCAAGGCGACGAUCUGUAGCGGGUCUGAGAGGAUGAUCCGCCACACUGGGACUGAGACACGGCCCAGACUCCUACGGGAGGCAGCAGUGGGGAAUAUUGGACAAUGGGCGGAAGCCUGAUCCAGCCAUGCCGCGUGUGUGAAGAAGGCCUUUUGGUUGUAAAGCACUUUAAGCGAGGAGGAGGCUACUUAGAUUAAUACUCUAGGAUAGUGGACGUUACUCGCAGAAUAAGCACCGGCUAACUCUGUGCCAGCAGCCGCGGUAAUACAGAGGGUGCGAGCGUUAAUCGGAUUUACUGGGCGUAAAGCGUGCGUAGGCGGCUGAUUAAGUCGGAUGUGAAAUCCCUGAGCUUAACUUAGGAAUUGCAUUCGAUACUGGUCAGCUAGAGUAUGGGAGAGGAUGGUAGAAUUCCAGGUGUAGCGGUGAAAUGCGUAGAGAUCUGGAGGAA
This 602-nucleotide ribosomal RNA is filed under the name Acinetobacter sp. RNAcentral's name for it is "bacterial SSU rRNA". It matches the Rfam family "Bacterial small subunit ribosomal RNA", at positions 109 to 706 of the family's 1533-position model. The record is from RNAcentral. Lineage: Bacteria; Pseudomonadati; Pseudomonadota; Gammaproteobacteria; Moraxellales; Moraxellaceae.